Manis pentadactyla (Chinese pangolin) is the source of this 3886-nucleotide RNA transcript. It is a transcript of the gene named collagen alpha-1(I) chain-like, with no coding region annotated. Lineage: Eukaryota; Metazoa; Chordata; Mammalia; Pholidota; Manidae. The record is from RefSeq and is a predicted model, not a curated record. The transcript is spliced from 2 exons.
AACAUCAUUCCUCAUGGAUCUCAUCCUGUGUUAGAAAAUCUGAUGAGAAUGUUCUAAGCCUAAUUGCUAUAUGCAUUCUGUUCUUAAAAUACAUGAUCAGCCCAAAAUAAUGCCACCACUCAGUUUGCAUUGUAUUUGAGUCAAUACUUUCUUGUGUAGUUCUGCUUCAAGUAACUACCCCCGCCCCAUUUUUAAUUGCCUUUUUUUAAAUUGGCAGAAAAAUACAUGCCAUCUGCAUUACAUCACUUAUCUGAGGUUAUUCAGCUUUUAAAAAUUACACUGUUUGUUAAUUUUGAACAGAGUUGCUUCUAGAUCUGGUGCCUUGCCAUCAUCCUGGGAUCUUUUUUAUUUCUCUUGUAGGUUAGUUGUACUAUUACGGAUACUGUGGCUUCCAUAGGAUGCUGUGUUCGUUUUUCAUUUUUUGGAGUCUUUGCUGAAAGUAUAUUUUCAGGAAGGGUAUCUGAACUUUUUGAAUUCAUUGGAUGUUUGAAAUUCUCAUUUUGGUUCUCAUUUGAUAGAUUAUUGGGUAUAAAAGUCUAGGUUCAAAAUAAUUAGUGUUAUGACUGCAUUGCUUUAUUGCAUUCCCAGUAUCCAGUGUUGCUUUUAGAACUCAGAAGCCAGUCUGUUUCUCAUAACUUGGAAGGUACUGCUUUGGGAAUUUUCUUUUUACUUUUCUCCUUUCCUUCUCCCAUCCCUGUCUUCCUUCUCCUUGCAUCAUCCUUAUCUCCCCCAACCCCUUUUUGAUAUGAUAUGUUGUAUAUACAUUUUGUAUGUAAAAUAUAUAUGCAAAAUUUUAGAAAUAAUAAAAAAUAAAUAUCAGUCCACUCCCAGCUUAAAAAAAUUGGACUUUCCUAAGCCCAUUGUUUGCACCUGCCUUAUUGAAUGUUUCUACCUGCCCCCACCCAGGACUAUCACUGUUCCCAGUUUGGUGCCUUUCCUUGUGUUUGAUAGUUAGAGUAGAAGUAUAUGACUACUUUAGCACAGUUUCUGAAAUUCAUCUGUGUUGAUGUGUCUAUCUGUAGUUAAUUGAUUUUCAAUGCUGUAUGGAUUUCAUUAUAUUAAUACAAAAUCUAAUCUGUUUUCUGUUGAUGUGCAUUUGGUUAUUUCCAGAUUCUUACUAAUAUGAAUAAUGCUGCUCUGACAUUCUUGUACAUGGAUGUUAGAGUCUAUCUAAGGUAUAUAGUUAGAAUUGGAAAGCCUGGGUCUAAAGGUGCGUACAAGUUCUGCCUUAUAAAUACAGUCUAAAAUGAUGGUAUUAAUCUGUAGCAGUGUACAAGAGGUCGAUUGCUGCUCAGCCUUCCUGACACUUGGUAACUGUCUUGUCUUUUUCAUUUUAGCAGUUCUGGGAGGUAUUUAUUGGAACUCGGUGUAGUUUUAAUUUACCUUUCUUUGAUGAUUAGUAAAAGUAAGUACUUCUUCAUAUGUUUAUUGGCUAUUUUGGAUAGUCUCCUAUAAGAGGUGGCUAUUUUGUUUUUUAUUUGUAAGAGAUCUUUACAUAUCCCUUAAAUGAGUUCUUUGUUUUUAUGUAUUGCAGAUACCUUCUUCAGUCCCAUGGUUUGCUUUUCACUCUCCUAAUGGCAUAUUUAGAUGCAUGUAAAUUCUUACUUUUAAUAUAGUCCAAUUUAUCAUUUUUCACCCUUUAUGGAGAGUGAUCCAUGUGACCUGUUCAAGAAAUCUUUGCUCAUUCCGUGAUCAUAGAGAUGUUCUCCAUAUUAUCUUCUAGAAGCUCUGUUGUUUUAUUUUUUACACUUAGGCCUGCUGUCUGCCUGGACUGAUUCUUGUGUGUCGUGUGAGGUAGCGCUCACAGUACGUUCUCUCAUAAUUGCAUGUCCAGUUGGCCAGUACCGUUCAUUGAGGACGUUCUCCCCCUGCUGCUCGGCAGGGUCGCCUUUGUCACACAGCAAGUGUCCUCCAUAGUGGUUCUGUUUUGAAACUUGUCUCUCGUAUUGGUCUCUUUCUUGGUGAUUGUGUCAACUCCACAGUGUCUUCAUUACUUUAUACAUAUCAGUUGAAACGUGUGACCUUGACCUGUUUGUAGGUCAUUUGCUCUCGGCAAUGCCAUAUGCCCACUGCUGCAGUUAGCCGUGGUUCCCUGUAGCUUGGGGUUGCCUAGGUUUGUUCUCUAAGCUUGUCUUUGCUAUUCUUGGCUCUUUGUAUUGUCAUAUAAGAUUUGGAAUCGGGUUUUCGUUUCAGAAUAAAAAGAAAAAAACCUACUGGAAUUUUGUUCGGAAGUGUUCAGUCUGUAGGAUAGCUUGGAGAUAAUCUGCAUCUUUGAAAUACUGAGCCUUCCCAGUGCAUAGUAUGUAAUCAUGAUAUAUUCCUGCCAUUUUUUUAAGUCUUUAAUUUCUCUCAUUUUUUAAAGUUUGUUUUCUGUGUAGUGGUCAUGAAUAUAUCUCUCAUUAAAGUUAUUCCUAGGUAUUUUUGAAAAUAACCAUUUAAGUGAUAUUUAAAAAAAACCUGUUUUUCCAGUGUUUUUGCCAGUAUGUGGAAAUACAAGUGGGUUUUACAAACUUACCUGGAGUUUACUAUCUUGCUAACAUCAUUUACUAAUUCUGAUAGUUUAUUUUCUGUCUGUUUCUCGCAGAUAAUGACAGUGUUGUUACUAUCUUCCGUGACUCUCAUGCGCUCCUUUGCCCCCACUUGCCGAGCAGUGGUGGUCUGCAGUGGCAGUAGUGGAGGAUGUGGUUACUUCUCUUUUGUCUCAAGAGGAUGACGCUUGUGGGUGGUUUUGGUUUUUUGAGUUUUUUCUUUGUUUUUUGUUUGUCUCUUUUGGUUUUGGUGGAUACCCUUUGUCCGUGAAAGGAUGCGCCCAUCCUAAUUCACUGUCUUUUUUCCAGAGGCUGUUUGAUUCUGUUGAGAGGGGAUUUUUAGUUUCCCUCCUUAAUCUGUUGCAGUGGUGCCAUGAUAGGUUCUCCUAAUGUCUGUUUAGCCAGCCUGGUUCAAAAUGUAUCUUUUUUACAUUACUACAUUUGGUUUGCUAAUAUUUAUUUUAGGAUUUUUUCAUUUAAGUCAUGGAUCAGCAAAUUAUGGCUCACAGGUGAAAUACAGCUUACUGCCAAUUUUCUGUAUAAUCUGUGAGCUAAGAAUAAUUUCUACAUUUUAAAAUAAUGACAAAAUCAAAAGGAGAAAAAUAUUUCAUGACAGGUGAACAUAUGAAAUUCAAAUUUCAAUGUUCAUAAAUAAAGUUUUAGUGUCAUCCAGACACAUUUAUUUACAUACAGGCAAAGCUUUCACACUGUAAUGUCAAUGCUGAGACAGGGUGUAUGCACAUACAGUGUUCCAAGCUCUGUCUUAAUCGUUUUGUAUAUGAACAGAUCCAGAAGCAAACAGUACUGUUAUCCCCAACCUGCCUGUGGGGAGCCUGAAGCAAAGAGGUUGUUUAAGAAACUUGCCCAAGAUUACAUGAUGCUCAGCGGCAGGUUUGAGCCUUUGGCAGUCUGGUGUGAAUCUGGGCCUGUAACCACUACAUUAUACUUUCAUUAGCCUCAUCAAGCUUUCUUCCCCCUCUUUAAAGGUACUUUCAUGUUAAAGGUAAGGCAUUUAUCCCCACUAAGGUCGUUCUACGAAAUGCCUGCUAAGUACUCCUGUAGCAUUGAUGCUUUCCUCCUUCCUGCUCAGAAGAGCUAAGCGCCUGUGCCUCAGACCAGCAGUGGAAGAGCCAGGGGGCCCGUCCAGCCUGCAGACGGCAGCUCAGCUGUGGAAGGCUGGGGUCAUGACAGGGAACAGAGCGCACCCCGAAGGAUGGGUGUGCACCUGGCGAGAGCCUGCGGGGUGUCACUUUGUUACACUAGGAGCCGUCCUUUCCAUCUAGGAACUCAGGAGUCCAAGGGGGCCUGGGAAGAGGCACGCAUUAUAAAUAAAUAAUUAAUGGACUCACCAGCACAAA